CUUUACUCCCUUCUUGCAUUUACACUUUUCUCCUUGAGAGAAAAUGAGAUGGCACGGAUAACAUGGGCCACGGCGAAAGCUAAAGGAAACAGAAAACACAAGGAGGGUAUACCAAGAGAAGGUAAAGAUGGGUACUUGCUUUCUGUGUUGCUGCUGUUUGCUUUGAUUAAUUCACUGGAAGAUUCUGAUGAAAGCCGUGAAGAGCAUUCAAGGGCAAAGUUCAUUCAGAAAUGAACUUAAGAAGAGGAGGAUGCUGCAGAGGCAAAGGAAAAGGAAUAGAGCUGAUGAUUUAAAGGUCACAAGGAGGCAGAUGAGCACAGUGUCAAGAGCCUGUGCAGAAAGAAAUUUAGAUGGGCCAGAGCGACCAAGCAAACAGAACCAACUCUUGAUCUACAUUUUGUGAAACUCUAUCAAGAAGAUAAGUGUUUCAAGGCUUUCUAGAUGGGCAACCUCAAAUUCUGCAUGUACUAAUAAUGAACUUUUAUCGACACAAAAACACAAGUAAAUCGUGGUGAUUGUUAAGGCUUUCCUGGAAAGGUGUGAAGACUUGGAGCGCCCACUAAAGAGAUGUUCAGCAAGAACAAGGGAUAGGUAAAAAACAUCAGACCCAAGGUCCAAAGAAGAUACGAAUCUGUGGCGAAUCCCAUUUUAGUUACUAGGCAAUGCUACUCCUCUGUCUUUUAAGAGAUUGGAUACAGAAUGAGAAGUAUAACUGAAGCAUUCUCCCAGGUCUACAUCCUCACAGGCUCAGGGAAAGUCUGAGAACAUAAGACAAUUAGGGAUACCAGGCAAUCAGUACUUUCUCGAAACAACCAGGGAGCACAGAUUCAGGAUGCUAGCAAUGACCCCUUUACCUUCUUGUUUAUCCUCAAAAGGCUCAAGGGGAAAAAAAUGACCUCAGAAGGAAUUAUGUGUCUUCUAAUCAUUAUUAUUUGACUGGAUAAGACCCCAUUUUCAUUUUAACUCUAAUUCACAGUUAUGAAAACCAACUUAUUUAAUUUAAUUGCCUUCUCUUUGUCCUGGGGUUAUGUAUCAGUUUAAAGCUUUGGGAAUGCCCACCUCCCCCUGAAUCACUGGAUGGCCUCCAGGGAACCUGAGGGACAACAAAGAUAUUAUGUACUCGGAUUAAAGGGGCAAACAUUUCCCCAGACCCACAGAGAGGCAACACCUCCAAACUCUCAGUAGAAAUGACCAGAAAGAACAGGGGUAUCCUUUAAUUAGCUAGUUUUAGAACACAUGCUGGGAAAUAAACCCAGUUAGCCCCCAAAUAUACGUGAGGUGAGAGGUUAUUUUCUAGAGAGACAGUCCAUGGCCUAGGAGACGUUAGUGGCUUGGUUGGAAAACUUCAGGACACAGUGAACAAGGCGUUACCAGUCGUCCCCCUGAGUGGCUGGCAAUACACAAGCCAUAAUUAUUUACUCUCCCUGGCUAGGGCUACCCCUCAGUGCAGAAGACAGAGGAGAGCCCACCACUCUAGAUGAAUGACUGACACUUCCUCGGGCCUCCAAGGAACUCUGGGCAUGCUCUCUGGCUGCUCUGACAGAUGUUUUAGGGAAGUACUUCUGAUUUGUCAACUGCAAACGAUAGAACUCUCUUGGUGGCCUGUCCCAUUUGGUGGGCUGGGUAUCACCCUGACUUGGGACAAAAGGCCACUGACUUGGACAUCACAAGCACAUGUUGUUAAAGACAGCAGUGUCUCUAUAAAACACAGUACUGUUAGAAAAAGGAAUUCCUUUUUUUUUUUA
Long non-coding RNA from Alexandromys fortis (reed vole), 1745 nucleotides. RefSeq lists it as uncharacterized. NCBI's taxonomy places the organism in Eukaryota, Metazoa, Chordata, Mammalia, Rodentia, Cricetidae. The record is from RefSeq and is a predicted model, not a curated record. The transcript is spliced from 3 exons.